UCUCUCCCUCCCUCUGGCCUCCAAGCACCCGAGGUGGCCAGCACCUGUACUCUGGAGCCAGCCUAGGGUCGGGCCCUGUGCUCAGGAUCUGUGGCUUCCAGGAGUCCUAUUUGCCCUAGAGUAGGGCCGGGGGAGGGGGAUGAUAGAAUGCCAGUGUUGGAUGACCCUACAGCAUAGAUGUGGUAUACCAUUGCUUGACUGUCCCCUGGCAGCUCCCACUGCCAGGUAUGUCUCUGCAGAUGCCUAGUCUCUGCUGUUUGGCUAAGAGGCUGGCCUGCAUGUGCAAAGAUCUGCCGCGUGAAGGGUGGGGCAGCACAGUCCUGAGUGUAGUGAGGCCAUGCCCUGGUGGCCACGGCAGCCUCUUCCAUGUCCUGAUCUUACCGCUGUGCUUACCCUUCACUCUAGCAUUGUCCUGAGGCUGGGCAGCAGCUGAGGGAUGUGCUAACUUGGCUGAGGUGGUAAAUGACUGGCUCUGGCAAGGAGGCCCCAUGAAUAACAGGUUAGUCUCAGGGGCUUGGACAGUUCCCAUCCUGCACAGUUGCCCUUCCUGAGAUAAGG
This 558-nucleotide long non-coding RNA is filed under the name Rattus norvegicus (Norway rat). RNAcentral describes it as "long non-coding RNA NONRATT010048". The record is from RNAcentral. Lineage: Eukaryota; Metazoa; Chordata; Mammalia; Rodentia; Muridae.